CACGUAGGCGGAUCUUUAAGUCAGGGGUGAAAUCCCGGAGCUCAACUCCGGAACUGCCUUUGAUACUGGGGAUCUUGAGUUCGAGAGAGGUGAGUGGAACUGCGAGUGUAGAGGUGAAAUUCGUAGAUAUUCGCAAGAACACCAGUGGCGAAGGCGGCUCACUGGCUCGAUACUGACGCUGAGGUGCGAAAGCUGGGGAGCAAACA
This 206-nucleotide ribosomal RNA is filed under the name uncultured bacterium. RNAcentral's name for it is "partial 16S ribosomal RNA". It matches the Rfam family "Bacterial small subunit ribosomal RNA", at positions 568 to 774 of the family's 1533-position model. The record is from RNAcentral.